UUGCUUUAGGGAUGAACAGUCCCUCGUAGUUAAUAACCAUCUAAACCACUUAGUCAGUGGCCUUUUUGGUGGCUUAUCCAUCAUUAUGGGAUGGAUGGUAU
RNAcentral lists this small nucleolar RNA (101 nucleotides) under Gossypium barbadense (sea-island cotton). Its description in RNAcentral is "Small nucleolar RNA snoR99". It matches the Rfam family "Small nucleolar RNA snoR99". The record is from Rfam by way of RNAcentral. Lineage: Eukaryota; Viridiplantae; Streptophyta; Magnoliopsida; Malvales; Malvaceae. RNAcentral also lists the same sequence under 2 other names.